UACGUAGGGGGCUAGCGUUGUCCGGAAUCACUGGGCGUAAAGCGCACGCAGGCGGAUUGAUAAGUCAGGGGUGAAAUCCCGGGGCUCAACCUCGGAAUUGCCUUUGAUACUGUCUGUCUUGAGUUCGGGAGAGGUUGGCGGAAUUCCUAGUGUAGAGGUGAAAUUCGUAGAUAUUAGGAAGAACACCAGUGGCGAAGGCGGCCAACUGGCCCGAUACUGACGCUCAUGUGCGAAAGCGUGGGGAGCAAACAGG
This 253-nucleotide ribosomal RNA is filed under the name uncultured bacterium. Its description in RNAcentral is "partial 16S ribosomal RNA". It matches the Rfam family "Bacterial small subunit ribosomal RNA", at positions 524 to 776 of the family's 1533-position model. The record is from RNAcentral.